This 468-nucleotide ribosomal RNA is filed under the name uncultured bacterium. RNAcentral describes it as "partial 16S ribosomal RNA". It matches the Rfam family "Bacterial small subunit ribosomal RNA", at positions 28 to 507 of the family's 1533-position model. The record is from RNAcentral.
GACGAACGCUGGCGGCGUGCUUAACACAUGCAAGUCGAACGGAAAGGCCCUGCUUUUGUGGGGUGCUCGAGUGGCGAACGGGUGAGUAACACGUGAGUAACCUGCCCUUGACUUUGGGAUAACUUCAGGAAACUGGGGCUAAUACCGGAUAGGAGCUCCUGCUGCAUGGUGGGGGUUGGAAAGUUUCGGCGGUUGGGGAUGGACUCGCGGCUUAUCAGCUUGUUGGUGGGGUAGUGGCUUACCAAGGCUUUGACGGGUAGCCGGCCUGAGAGGGUGACCGGCGACAUGGGGACUGAGAUACGGCCCAGACUCCUACGGGAGGCAGCAGUGGGGAAUAUUGCACAAUGGGCGGAAGCCUGAUGCAGCAACGCCGCGUGCGGGAUGACGGCCUUCGGGUUGUAAACCGCUUUCGCCUGUGACGAAGCGUGAGUGACGGUAAUGGGUAAAGAAGCACCGGCUAACUACGUG